Long non-coding RNA from Lemur catta (Ring-tailed lemur), 101 nucleotides. RefSeq lists it as uncharacterized. The record is from RefSeq and is a predicted model, not a curated record. NCBI's taxonomy places the organism in Eukaryota, Metazoa, Chordata, Mammalia, Primates, Lemuridae. The transcript is spliced from 3 exons.
GGAGCAUCCUUGCAAGAGUCAACCCAAUGUGAAGACCACCAGACUGGAUGCAGCUUUCUCACUAACUACUGCCAGAAGAAGACAGUAGAAACUGGGUCUUG